AGUGAACGUUGGCGGCGUGGAUUAGGCAUGCAAGUCGCGCGGAAAGGCCCCGCAAGGGGCACUCGAGCGGCGUAAGGGAUAGUAACACGUGGGUAACCUACCCCUGGGACUGGGAUAGCUGCGGGAAACUGCAGGUAAUACCGGAUAACGUCCCCGGACCACAGGUGUGAUUCCGCCUGGGGAGGGUCCCGCGUCCUAUUAGCUAGUUGGCAGGGUAACGGCCUACCAAGGCAAAGAUGGGUAGGGGGUGUGAGAGCACGACCCCCAUCACUGGGGCUGAGACACUGCCCAGACACCUACGGGUGGCUGCAGUGGAGAAUCUUCGGCAAUGGGCGCAAGCCUGACCGAGCGACGCCGCGUGCGGGAUGAAGGCCCUCGGGUUGUAAACCGCUGUCAGAGGGAAAGAAGUGCUGGGGGGUUCUCCCUUCAGUUUGACUGACCCUCAGAGGAAGUACGGGCUAAGUUCGUGCCAGCCGCCGCGGUAA
This 485-nucleotide ribosomal RNA is filed under the name uncultured bacterium. Its description in RNAcentral is "partial 16S ribosomal RNA". It matches the Rfam family "Bacterial small subunit ribosomal RNA", at positions 28 to 523 of the family's 1533-position model. The record is from RNAcentral.